UGAGAAGCUUCGAUUAAGGUUCGAUUCGAGCGCAGCGAGAAAGCGUUGCCGCAGGCAACGACCCGAAGGGCGAAGCGCGCAGCGCUGAGUCAUCCUUCCCCCACCACCA
Molecule: small RNA, 109 nt
Filed under: Salmonella enterica subsp. enterica serovar Infantis
Lineage: Bacteria; Pseudomonadati; Pseudomonadota; Gammaproteobacteria; Enterobacterales; Enterobacteriaceae
Also listed under: 2 other names
Description: partial RtT sRNA
Rfam family: RtT RNA
About the family: This family represents a bacterial cis-regulatory element known as RtT RNA. The exact function of RtT is unknown although it is thought that it may be involved in changing the cellular response in relation to amino acid starvation.
Source: RNAcentral